UACGUAGGCAGCAAGCGUUGUUCGGAAUUACUGGGCGUAAAGAGUGUGUAGGCGGUGCUCUAAGUUCGGUGUGAAAUCUCCCGGCUCAACUGGGAGGGUGCGCCGGAAACUGGAGUGCUGGAGCGCGGGAGAGGAAAGCGGAAUUACCUGGUGUAGCGGUGAAAUGCGUAGAUAUCAGGAGGAACACCGGCGGUGUAGACGGCUUUCUGGACCGUAGCUGACGCUGAGACACGAAAGCGUGGGUAGCAAACAGG
Molecule: ribosomal RNA, 254 nt
Filed under: uncultured bacterium
Lineage: Bacteria
Description: partial 16S ribosomal RNA
Rfam family: Bacterial small subunit ribosomal RNA
Source: RNAcentral